AUGUCCUCAACUCCAGGCCACAAAAUCCAGGCCCAAAAUGUCCACAAGUCGGCCUCUGAAGGCCCCGCUCCUGCCUUUCGUUGGCCUCUCCAGGCCCAGCUGCUGUCCCCAGCAUCUCCAGGCCCAGAACUUCCUCAAGUGGGCCUCUUCAGGCUCAGCUCUUCCUCCUGACUGCAUCUCCAGGCCCGUCUCCUACGUCACAACAACCUCUUUCAGCUCAGCUCUUGCCCAGCUCCUGGCAGCCUUUAUGGCCCAAAGCUUUCUCACAUCAGGUCCUUGGCCAAGUUCCUGCCUGCCUCCCAGCAGGCUCGAAAGGCCCAGCUCCUGCCCCCGACAGUCUCUCCAGACCAAAAUCUUCCUCAAGUCAGCCUCUACAGGCUGGUCUCUUGCCUCACACUGGCCUCUCCAGGCCCAGCUCCUGCAUCUUGGCAGCCUCUCCAGGCCCAGCUCUUGCCUCGUGGCAGCUGCCCCAGGCCAAGUUUCUGACUGCCUGCCAGCAGCCUCAACAGGCACAGCUCCUCCCUCACACUGGCCUGUUUAGGUCCAACUCCUGACUGUCAGGCCCUAUCCAGGCCCAGUGCCUGCCUUCUGACUGACUCUUGAAGCCCAAAACGUCCUCAAAUCAGCCUUUUUAGGCCCACCUUCUGUCUACUGUCGGACUCUACAGGCCAGCCUCUGCCUCACAGUGGACCCUGCAGACCCAGAUCAUGUCUUACUGUGGCAUCCUCAGGUGAAGAUCCUGCCCUUUGGCAGCUUCUACAGGGCCAUCUCCUGCCUUGCAAUGGCCUCUUUAGGCCAAGCGCAUGCCCCAUGGUGACUUUUCCAGGCACAGAUUUUGCUUUUUGCAGCCUGUCCAGGCCCAGAAUAUCCUGAACUUGGCAUCUCUGGGACGAGCUCAUUCUCCCGGCUGCACCUACAGGCCCAUUUCCUGCCUCAAAACAACUUCCUUUGGCCCAACUCCUGCCGAGCUGCUGGCAGCCUCUGUAGGCCACAGACUUCUUAAUGUAAAGCUUUCCAGGCCCACCUUCGGCCUCCCGGCAGCCUCAGCAAUCAAACUAUUCCCUCAUGGCAGCUACAAAAAGCCAAGUUUCUCCCUGCCUCACGGAAUCCUCCAAAACCAGCAUUUGCCUCACGGCAGCCUCCUCAGGCCACAAAUCUGCCUGUCUCCCAGCAGUCUUGACAAGUCCAGCUGAUGCCUCACAAUGGCCCCUUUAGGCCCAGCUCAUGCCAAAAGGUGGACUCUCCAGGCAUAGCUCUUGCCUCCUGGCAGCCUCUGCAGGCCCCAAUUCUCUAAAAGUUGCCCUCUCCCAACCCAGCUCCUACCUCACGAGGUCAGCCUACAGAGGCCCAAACUCUACCACACAGUGGCCCUUCCAGGCCCACCAGAUCAUGGCCUCCUCAGGUGAAACUCCGGCCUCACAAUGGCCUCUGUAGGCCAAGCUCACAUCUCCCGGUGGCCUUUCCUAGCUUAACUUUUGCUUUUUGACGCAUACUCCAGGCCCAGAACUUCCUCCAUUCAGCCUGUCCAGGCCAAGGUCUUCCUCCCAAAGGCCUCUGCAGUCCCAAAUCGUCCUGAAGUCAGCCUCUGCAGGCCCAGGUCCUGCCUCCCAGUGCUGUGUAGGUCAAGCUAAUGCCUCACAGCAGACUUUCCAGGCCAAGCGUUUGCUUUUGUGCAUCGUCUCCAUGCCCUUAAAUUACUCCAGUCGGUCUUUCCAGGCCCAGCUCUUCCUCCCAGCAGCCAAAUUGUCCUCAAUUUGCCCUCUC
Macaca mulatta (Rhesus monkey) is the source of this 1764-nucleotide non-coding RNA. The record is from RefSeq and is a predicted model, not a curated record. NCBI's taxonomy places the organism in Eukaryota, Metazoa, Chordata, Mammalia, Primates, Cercopithecidae.